GCUUGUCUCAAAGAUUAAGCCAUGCAUGUCUAAGUGUAAAUAAGUCUAUACUGUGAAACUGCGAAUGGCUCAUUAAAUCAGUUAUCGUUUAUUUGAUGAUCUCUUACUACUUGGAUAACCGUAGUAAUUCUAGAGCUAAUACAUGCACAAAGGCCCGACUCACGGAGGGCUGUAUUUAUUAGAUGGAAACCAAUGCAGGGCAACCUGGAAUAUGGUGAUUCAUAAUAACUCGCGGAUCGGUUUACCGAUGCAUCAUUCAAGUUUCUGCCCUAUCAGCUUUGGAUGGUAGGGUAUUGGCCUACCAUGGCUUUAACGGGUAACGGAGAAUUAGGGUUCGAUUCCGGAGAGGGAGCCUGAGAAAUGGCUACCACAUCCAAGGAAGGCAGCAG
This 389-nucleotide ribosomal RNA is filed under the name uncultured Chrysophyceae. RNAcentral describes it as "partial small subunit ribosomal RNA". It matches the Rfam family "Eukaryotic small subunit ribosomal RNA", at positions 30 to 431 of the family's 1831-position model. Lineage: Eukaryota; Chrysophyceae. The record is from RNAcentral.